UUGUUGCAGUUAAAAAGCUCGUAGUUGGACCUUGGGCAAUGGGGUCAGGUCGGCCGCAAGGCGUGACUUGAUCGCGGCGCCUCUUUGGGGUGGGGAUUCGUCGUUCGCGGCGAGUCAGCAGCCCCGGGUUACUGUGAAGAAAUUAGAGUGUUUAAAGCAGGCGUUUGCUUGGAUACAUCAGCAUGGAAUAACAAGAUAGGACCGAGUUCUACUUGUUGGUUUGGGGGCUUUGGUAAUGAUUAAUAGGGCCAGUUGGGGGCAUUAGUAUUCAGUAGUCAGAGGUGAAAUUCUUGGAUUUACUGAAGACUAACUAGUGCGAAAGCAUUUGCCAAGGAUGUUUUCAUUAAUCAAGAACGAAAGUUAGGGGAUCGAAGACGAUCAGAUACCGUCGUAGUCUUAACUAUAAACGAUGCCGACUAAGGAUCGGCAGAAGUCGUUUGCGACUCUGUCGGCACUUUGUGAGAAAUCAAAGUUUUUGGGUUCUGGGGGGGAGUAUGGCCGCAAGGCUGAAACUUAAAGGAAUUGACGGAAGGGCACCACCAGGAGUGGAGCCUGCGGCUUAAUUUGACUCAACACGGGAAAACUCACCAGGUCCGGACAUAGUAAGGAUUGACAGAUUGAGAGCU
This 626-nucleotide ribosomal RNA is filed under the name uncultured eukaryote. RNAcentral describes it as "SSU rRNA". It matches the Rfam family "Eukaryotic small subunit ribosomal RNA", at positions 610 to 1256 of the family's 1831-position model. The record is from RNAcentral.